GACGAACGCUGGCGGCGGGCUUAACACAUGCAAGUCGAAGGAGAAGGAAGGAGCUUGCUCUUUCUGGAGACUGGCGCACGGGUGAGUAACGCGUAGACAACCUGCCUAUAGCUGGGGGAUAACAUCUCGAAAGAGGUGCUAAUACCGCAUAAUGCAGCGGGGCCGCAUGGUCACAGUUGUUAAAGCCUUCGGGCGGCUAUAGAUGGGUCUGCGUGCCAUUAGUUAGUUGGUAGGGUAACGGCCUACCAAGGCGAUGAUGGCUAGGGGGUCUGAGAGGAUGAUCCCCCACACUGGGACUGAGACACGGCCCAGACUCCUACGGGAGGCAGCAGUGAGGAAUCUUGCGCAAUGGAGGAAACUCUGACGCAGCCACGCCGCGUGCCGGAAGAAGGCCCUAUGGGUUGUAAACGGCUUUUAAUUGGGAAGAAGGAUAGGGUUUUGAUCUUAUUUGACGGUACCGAUUGAAUAAGCACCGGCUAACUCCGUGCCAGCAGCCGCGGUAAUACGGAGGGUGCAAGCGUUGUCCGGAAUCAUUGGGUGUAAAGGGUGC
Molecule: ribosomal RNA, 550 nt
Filed under: uncultured Bacteroidota bacterium
Lineage: Bacteria; Pseudomonadati; Bacteroidota
Description: bacterial SSU rRNA
Rfam family: Bacterial small subunit ribosomal RNA
Source: RNAcentral